Molecule: long non-coding RNA, 5750 nt
Organism: Orcinus orca (killer whale)
Lineage: Eukaryota; Metazoa; Chordata; Mammalia; Artiodactyla; Delphinidae
Exons: 4
Source: RefSeq, a predicted model, not a curated record
CUUUCUUAUUUUUGGCUGUGUCGGGUCUUAGUUGCAGCACACGGAAUCUUCGCUGCGGUGCAGGCUUCUUGCUAGUUGUGGUGUGUGCUUUUCUCUCACUAGUUGUGGCGCACAGGCUCCAGGGUUCGUGGGCUCUGUAGUUGUGGUGCAGGGGCUCUCUCAUUGAAGCGCGCGAGCUCAGUAGUUGUGGCACGUGGGCUUAGUUUUCCCGCAGCACGGGACCACCUCUUCUUUAUCUAUUCAUCUGUCAGUGGACACUUAGGUUGCUUCUGUGUCUUGGCUAUUGCAAACAAUGUUUUAAUGAUCAUCCUUGAAUAUGCUUCUUUGGACAGAGGUGUGAGUAUUUUUCUAGGGUAAAUGCCAAGAUGGAUUUACUGGGUUAUAGGAUAUUAAAUUUUAAUAAUUAGUUGUCUUUAUUUUAGCUGUCAUCUUUUAGCUCAGCUCAGCUCAAAUCGAGGAUUAAGGCAUGUUCCUAGCAGGGAGGCUAUUCAGAGAUCCUACUUCAGCAGUUUAAGAUUCACCUAAGCUGACUCUGCCGCUGCCCCACCUCUGACCAUGGUAACUCAUUGUCUGAGCUCCUGCUUUUGUGUUUCCUUCUCUGUCUCAGCGACUUGCCCUGAUUUCCUCUAUGCCUGAGUCUCUGAACACUGUACCUGUAUCUCUGAGACACUCAGCACCUAUCUGUUGGAAUCUUCACCAGUUACUGCUCUCCUCUCCUCCCCAGCACACUGGCCUGGAUGAACUCAUCAGUUCUUGGCUUCUACGCUGACCGACUUGUGGGAUUCUGCUCUCAUCUGUCCUUUCCCCUUAGUCUAGGGUACUAGUGCUACAGGACCCAUUAGAGUCCAUAUUCUUCAGCUUUAGUUAUGAUAUUAAUACCUUAAAGACCCCUUUUUUGGCCUCCUACUCUAUCCUGAAGUUCCGUCUGGACUCUGCCACUUCCCGGCCUGGUGGCUGUCCAAGCUUGCACAGUGUUACUGGGUUUCACAUUACCCCACAAUACUGAUUAUUUUCUAUUUCUAACCAUAUCUCUUUUUUUCCCCAGUGAGAAACUUCCUUUCUUUUUCUUUCCCCUGUUGUUUGAUAUCCUUCAAGGCUAGGUCUUCGUUCUGCUAUUCUUUCUAAGCACUUACUUCUUCAAUAUUUUCCUACUCUCACUUACCUUAACAGACUUAAAUACAGUUUAUUCCCAAGCAUAAAUAUCCAGCCUUCACCCUUCCCCAUGCUCCAUGAGUGCAUUUCCAAUUGUCUGCAUAACAUCUCCAUUUGAAUGUUUCCCAUCACUUCAAUUUCAAUAUGUCUAAACCCAACAGAAUCAUCUGCUCCAAUUUUACCCCAUCUGUUCCCUUUCCAGUUUUCUCUGUCUCUGUAAACGAUAUCACAUUUUCUUGAUCACCCAGCCUAGAAAUCUUGGACCUAUAUCUGAUUUCUUUAUUUCUUCACCUCUUAUAGACAAUCCAACAUGGAAUCCUGCUGAAGUUUUUCCUUUGAAAAUAACGUUGUGGGUGACUUCUGAAUGAAAAGUGGAUUGGGUACAUGCAUUCAUCUCUUUUCUGAAAUGCCACUAAAAUGGCAGCCAAGCACGAUCCACGACAGCAAGAAGACAAAGGCUUUGUUACAACAGAACAGAGCAGAGACAUCUGUGGCUGUCAGCUUCUUUAAAGCCAGUAAAUACAGCCAGUGAUGGUUCUUCCUUCCCAGAGCCCACCAUCAUGCUGGGUAGAGUGCUCUCCAGCAAAGACUUUGGAUUCAGGAGAGGGAACACCCAGCCCCAUGGGGAAGCCAGUGGAGGCACAUGGAUGGGGAGAGUCCCCCAGGCAAAGGGCUGCUGCCCGGCAGAGGCUCUUGGCCUGGCUCAUCCUGACCCCCAGCAAAGAUGACUAUUAAGUUGAAAAGGAUGUGUCCCCAAAACAGAGCAAGUCUGGACUGCACAAAAUUACCUUCCAUCUCGGAGCAAAUUACGACUUAAUAUGUUUCUGGGAGCACGGUGAGUUCUGCUUUGUAUUUUUACAUUUACUAAGAAAAUUUAGUAGCAUUUUUUCACACUAAAAUAGUCAAAGCUCUCUGAAAGUGACAAUCAUAAAAGCCUUCUCCCCUGAUAGAGAAAACAAGUUCAACACAAUGAAUUUAUGUACCUGUCAGGAAAUUUAAUGGGAGCAGUGGUCACCCUGAGUCCCCAGAUAGUAGAAUCCUGGGGGAAAGGAGGCAGAAUUGUCUGCAAGAUUCUGUUGUGUCUCCAGGGACCUCCUUUAAGCGUAAGGCUUAUCCUGGGGUUAAGAAAGUGGUGCAGCCCACAGAUAGCAAGUGAGAGUGGAUGGUUUCUCACUUUUCCUCUCCAGAACCUGCUGGCUCUCCUGCUGAAUGUGUGCGCACUGCUUAAUGACCCAGGUGGGACUGCCCCACUGGGGUAAAGCUUUCAUCCAGCUAAGGCUUCCUGAUAUAAUUAUUUGGGGAAAGUGGGUAGCAAGAUUUGAAAGUGAAUUCUUCACUGCAGAAUAUAAACCAAGUAAGGAUGAAUGCAGCAAUUACUACAUGACUUCCAAGUCUCAUAAACAGAGUUCUCAGAGCCUAGGCCUCCAGAAGAUGAAAACUGGUAUUCUUUUAUUUAUUUAUUCAACAAAGUCCUAUGGAGACUACCAGGAGUUAGACAGUCGGGUUCCAGGGGUUCAAACAAGAAAGACUUGAGCUCAUAAUCUAGACAAAGGCCAGAGAACACAUCUAAUACAGUAUGAUAAGGGCCAAGUAUGGCAGAUACAAGGCCACAUGGAAGCAGAGGAGAAGCACUUGUUAAGAGGAGGCGGGCAUAAUGAUUAGGAGAAGCUCCCAUGAUGCAGUGACAUUGAGAUGAGUCAGUAAGUAUGUUAGCCAGCUCCCUCGGCUGUGUACAGACUAUACUUCAUAACAGUUCUGCAAAUUCCCUCUAUGACCAUGUGGCUUACACAGAGAGUAAAGGGAAAAAACAAAACUGUGUAAGAGGGUGGAAUAAGAGACUCUGGUGUUGGAAGGCUGGGAAGGGAACACGAGCCUACCCAAUUAAGUAGGUAUUAUUCCCAUUUUACAGAUGAAAAAACUGAGAGUUGUAUUAAAGGUUGUUCAAGGUUGAGCCUAAGACAGUAUGACUCCAAGGUCUAAACUUUUUAUUCUGAAUAUUGAUUCUGUCUAGGUUUCAGGCUUGAGCUCCCUGUUUAAGCACUGGAAGUUUCAGAAAUGGUUUGGAGAAAAAGUUCUGUUUCCUGGCAGGAAUGGCAGUCUUGCAUGAGGUUUGAUAGAAGUGAUAUUAAGAGAUAGGUGUACUCUACUACACUUCAGAUCACAUUAUUCUCAGGGAAUAGUUUAUAAAGGAGGAACGAUUCUACAAAGAUUUUAAGUAUCCCUUUGAGUUGAUAUCUGCCUUCACGGUCACCUUCUUUGAAGACUGCAUCUGUACCACCGUCAGAGCAUGGAGAAUAUUUUUGAUGACACCAACAGUCACCUAAAUCCCCACCUAGUAUUGACUCAUUCUUUCUUCUGCUAACUAAAUUGAAUUGUUGACAAUUCUUUUACUAUCUACAGAUACCAUAGAAAGAUUGGCUCUCCAGAGUUCUUUUAUUUUUCUGACCAUUUUAAGCAUGAUUUUCUAGAGUCCUGCUUAGAUUUAUUGUUUUGUAUAUAUCAUUAAAAUUGAUUUACCAGGAAUUCCAUCCGCUUCUAUGAACCUUGAUUGGAGUCAUACAAAUUGAUGGUAGAGGCCACUGGAAUUUGGAAACAUGAGUGAAAGUCCUAGUCCUGCCAUUGGAUGGCGCUGAGUAUAUGUUUAAUUCCAUCUUAGGUUCUCUGUCAAACGGCGAUAAUAUGUAUCUCAUGGGCUUCAUUUUGAGGUUAAGUACCAUAACGUUCAUGAAAGAAUGGUGAGCUGCUCUUCAGAUUAUUCUCCUUUUUUCUUUUCUUUUUGGUGUCUAGGAAUAUCCCCAAAUGUCUUCUGAAUCAUUACAGAAAGAGUAAAUCAUGCCCCACGUGGUCUUUAACGGUACAGUUUUUAAGAUUUGUAAUCUGUAUAUGAUAGGUAGGGCAAAUUUAUUAACCAUAUUUAGUUCACUGGAACAUACUGUUCUGAAGAUAACUGGGAUGAUAAGAAUAUUACUGUAACUUAUUAAAGCCAAUUAAAACUUUCUGAAGAUUUAAGAUGUGAUUUUCUUCACUUUUAAAAAAAGAGUUUUAGCCUUGGGGUCCAUAGUUGCUGAGAUUCCAUUUUAAAAUAUUGUCGUUUUUUGAAAAAAUCUUUUCUCGUAUAAAACCUCUUAUCAGAUAAGUAGGACCCUACAAGAGGCUUUCACACUUCUUCUAUACCUUUGUUUACCUGAGUCCCCUGAAUUACCAUUUCUCUUCUGUUUUUUUUUUUUUUUUUUGCGGUACACGGGCCUCUCACUCUUGCGGCCUCUCCCAUUGCAGAGCACAGGCUCCGGACGCGCAGGCUCAGCGGCCAUGGCUCACGGGUUCAGCUGCUCCGCGGCAUGUGGGAUCUUCCAGGACCGGAGCACGAACCCAUAUCCCCUGCAUUGGCAGGCGGACUCCCAACCACUGUGCUACCAGGGAAGCCCUCUCUUCUGUUUAUUUUUUAAAGCUAGUGUUCUCAAAGUUUGAGGGUUUUUUUUUUCAGGUUUUUUUUCACUACCCACUAAUUUUGAAUAGAGUAUUUUGUUGUUUUUGCGUUGUCACUAUUGAUUUUAAGGAUGCAAGAGAUUUUAAUAUGUUGCUGGCCAAGCUGAAGAAUAAAUGGAGAAGGAGAGAUUGAAAAUGUAGGUGGAAGAGAUGGAGAGAAGGUGAUCAUGGAUGCAGAAGGAGUCAACAUCAGGAUGGUAGCAAACACAAAAAUCAAAGGUGGUCCCCACAAUGAUGGUAAUUAGCAAAUUAGCAAACAAGAGAACAGAGACACUUUGAGGCAGAGAGGAAAGCAUCUCUUAGCACACAACUGUUUUAGUCUUUUCAGGAAAGUAGAAGUGUGGUCAUAUGAUGAGAGCAAGUGAGUAUGGACUCAGAGCUUGAGAGCAUCUCUGGGGAAGGCAGUACGAUGUCCACCACCAAAAUGUAACAGUAUUGGGCAGCAGCCUAAUGGACCCAGCUGCAUUUUAAAAUGAUAAGUUUGCUGGGAAACCCAUGGAUAUAUUAAGGUAAUUUAUCUAGCAAUUCCAGUAACCAAGUAACCCAGGAGCUGGUAAGUGGUCAGGCAGUCGUGAGGAAAUGCCAAAGGUCUUGAUUUAAUAGUAAAUGCUGAUCAGGGAGACAACUGAAAUGAAGGAGGUGUAAAAUUGGGAAAACUAGAAGAGCUCCAAGGACUGGCAGUCCUGAUAAAGACAAGAGCAGAGUCUGUGAUUUUUCUGGUACUUUUAUUCUUCUCAGAAUGGGUACAGUGUGCUAAUACUAAAUCCCAGGAUUGAGGUAAAAGAUGCUGGCUUCUCACAUCUUGAAGAUGAGAAAACUAGUUUCCUUAUAAACUUCAUUAGAAGUCACUGUUUAACCAUAUGUUAAACCCUCCAAUUAUAGGUUUUGGUAUUAUUUCUCUGCUACACUGUACACCGUACAUCAUUAGUGGAUUAUAUCUGCACAUUUCCUUUCUUCCUUCUCCUCCCACUUGAUAAACUUUCCCCACAUGCACUCCUGAGAGUCCAUGUAACAUCUCUACAUUCUGUGCCAAGGGUGAGAUCUUUCAUUGCUGGCUAGAAGCUUACCAAACGUACUGUUAUUUAAGAGGAGGUUACCCGCAUACCUGAUCU